UCUCUGUGCUAUGAAGAAUUCCAGAGUGAAAGUUCAAGUGCAGGGAGAGACCCGUCAGCAUGGCUGUUCCUGCCUUUCCUUCUGGGAUCUGAUAUUCUAAUGAGAUGGGCUUCUGAGUCCAGCCCACGUUCCCUGACUGCAAUGGCAUGAGAGAGCUCAGACUACCUUUGUGCUGUAUGAACAAGUGCUAUUUGAUCCACAAAGCUCAAGAUCCCACAAUUGAAAAUGAUUUAUAAAGUAAGAUCAAAAACAUGUGCACUGCAGGAUUUACCAAAGCAUUGGCAUUGUCACUUUCUGAAGAAGCUGCCACUGUUUUGUCAGAAGAAAAGGGACAACUUGUUAAUACCUAUCUAAAUCGUGAGUCCAGAGUUUCUUGCAUCCAUUAUUAAGUGGGCCUAGUCUCUCUUGGAUAAAUUGGAAAAUAAUGGGUUAUAGGAGAAAGAAAAAAGUACCUUAAGUCAGGGAUCAUUGAUUAC
Marmota monax (woodchuck) is the source of this 476-nucleotide long non-coding RNA. RefSeq lists it as uncharacterized. Lineage: Eukaryota; Metazoa; Chordata; Mammalia; Rodentia; Sciuridae. The transcript is spliced from 2 exons. The record is from RefSeq and is a predicted model, not a curated record.